RNAcentral lists this non-coding RNA (112 nucleotides) under Pessonella sp. PRA-29. The record is from RNAcentral. Lineage: Eukaryota; Discosea; Flabellinia; Vannellidae.
CAACAUAAGCAAUACGAUCGACAAAUGCCACAUUGGUCAAAUAUUUUCCAAGUUUUGAAUGCAGAUUAGGUGUUUUUGGCAAACAAAUUUCUUUUUCCGUUUUUUUUUUUUU